CAUUUUUGUGGCCCAAAAUAAAGAGAUAAAGAGAGGUGGUGGAGACUCUUUAAGACAAAGACUUGGUUGAUGUUCUCUUAUCAUUUUUACAUACAUAAAUUCUAUGAGCUCUCUCAAGUUUAUAUCUUCAUCUCUCAACUUCAAGCAUCUGCCUCAAAUUAUAUCUAGGAUUCUUGAAGAAAUCCUCCUCUUUCAAAGCUAACUUUGAAGGUUAAUUCAAGCCCUUGAAGGACUGCAAGUCAAGGUCUAAAUUUGCAGAAAUUUAGGUAAUCUUACUUCCCCAUUUUAUCUCAAUAUAUAUAUUAGAUUGGGUGAGAUUUAUCUAGGUUAUUUUCAUGAAAUUAUGGGACUAUGACCGAAAUUGAUGAGUCCAAGCUUUAGUGAUUAUGAUAAAACGUGUGGAGCUGCCUAAUAUGGUGAAUCUUGGAGCAGUAUUGGGUGGAUAGUUGGAUUCAUUUGGUGGUGAAGGACGCUGUUUUAUACCUAUGUAUGCUAGUUAAAGUGUUGUUUGUGUGUAUGAGAUAGUUGGGUGUUGAAACACCAGUUUUGAAAAUUGUGGAGCUUUAUGCCCGCUAGGUGUUCGACAUAAUAUCCUACUGGUCUAUUUCUUGACCUAUUGACUCUAUUGACUCUAUUGUAAUGUAAUCGAUCUGUAUAUUUAUAUUAUAAUUUAUAGUGUUGGAUGGUCUUAUUAGAAAGUCGUGUGAAGUGUUUUCAGGGAAGAAAUGAAGGGUCUAGUGAUGUACCAUUUAAAUUGAGGGUUGUGCAGGCUUGCUACCCAUUAUGUGUCUAUUUAUUUGUCUGGGUGUUUUGAAGCUCGGGCAGUGCCAGGAGAUUUCAUGAGAAAGUCGUAAGUUGUGUAAACAUGUGAGAAGGGAAUGUGUGAAAGGAACACCCAAUAGUAGAUGGGUUACAAGUAUGCUGCCUGCCUAUUGUCUUGGUAAGUUGAAGUGAUCCAAGCUUGUUGAUUAGCUGCUAAUAUAACUCUAUUACUUGCCACUAUUGUAGAUUAACACUUUAAAGGAAAGUCUGAAUCAUGGUAAUACAUAGUACUGUCCGGGAGACAAGGUAAGUAAGGCUAUUCAAUUUAAUAUUCUUUGGCAUGAAUUCCUAUAUUUCUGGUACCAACAAAGCAAGCUUUCUAAAUAAUCCUUGUUGUUAAAGAUAUGUUGUGAUGGUGUAUAAUCUCUAAUUUAUUUAAUAUCCUUCUACUGCCACGGUUUCACAAAUGUGUCAAACAACUCCAAUAGGUGUUCAUUAUCCUAUAUCGAUGUUGUAAUACUUUCAAGUACGAGUAUGAUAAAAGUACUCUAAAAAGUAAGUUUCAUGAGUUAUCCUCUAAAUCAAAUGAGGAGUCCUUGAGUCAAUAAGAUCCUACAUUACACAUGUUAUGAGUUUUCAUAGGCCAGAUAUAUUCUGUCCAAUUUAUAAGUCCUUACAUGGAAUACUUAUCUCUUAUUUCGGAUUUGUCCAUGUGCAUCAUUAGUUCACAUAUUUAUACACCCUUUCAUUUGGCAUAAACUACUAAGUGUUAAGCUAUCGUAACAUCUUAUACAGUCAUUACCUCUUCAUAAGAGGAGUUGCACGCUUCCAUUUGAAAUGCAUGUAUGCCCCCAUUUGAAAAGUUGAAACGUGUUUUAAAUGAACCAUGCAGCAUGUCCUAAUGUCCCGACUUUCCGAAAACUUUCAUAGAUUGUUUGUAUAUAUUCUUUGUACCUAAUGAAUCUCAUUGAGUCAUAAGUUCCUAAGUAUUACAUCGGAAUUACAUUUUGCUUCCAAUAUCAUUUUUGCUACCUCAAGUAUUUUAUUCACAUGUCUACACCACUGAUAUAUAUAGUCCUAAAGCUCAAAAGAAUUAUGACCACCGAAAGAACAAUCUCAAAGAUCAAAUAUACAAGGUAAAGAUCUCAAUCUAUAUAAUUAUGGGUGGCAGCUCAGGGGAUGAAAUACCUAGCAUGGGCCGAACUCAAUCUAUAUAAUUAUGGGUGGCAGCUCAGGGGUUGAAAUACCUAGCAUGGGCCGAUCUCAAUCUAUAUAAUUAUGAGUGGCAACCCAGGGGCAAAAGCCUAGCAUGGGUCGAUCCCGAUUUGUAUAUUUAUGAGGAUAGCAUUCCAGGGGUUAAAUGCCUAGCAUGGGUCAUUCUCUUCUACCACUGACCAGUUGCUCACUUCUAUUACAUGCCUUACAUAGAUUAUGAAGCAGCGAAGAUUAUGAAAAGAAUGUUAUGUAUAGUGAUCCAAGUAUAGUAAUAUAUCACGUGCCCAAGUGCUAAUAGUCAUAUCCACAAAAAAUUGAUUAACGUGUUGAGAAGGGUAAAACAUGGCAUUGUGAUCCUAUAGGUUGUUCCUAGUUUCCAGAUGCCCCAAUUGUUCAUGUGUUUAUAUGUUCUAAUAGUUCACUUGUUCACAUGUUAUCCAUUCUAAUAGUUCACGUGUCAUGUGUUCACUUAUUUUCUUUGACGUGCCAUCUGUUCUCAUAAUUCACCUUUUCAUAUGUGACCUAUUCUCAUAUUUAUCUGUUCGAGUGUCGCAUAAUCUCACAACUCACAUGUCAUUGCCUUCUUGUUAAUGUGUUAAUGCCCUUGAUGGCUCAAUUGUUUUUUUAUUACAUUCUUACAGAUCACUCGCUUACGUGCGUGUCUGCUAGUCCAUUUGCUUAUAUAACUACAUGUGUCCAGUUCACCUGCUUAUAUGGUUGUCUUAUAAUCCAUUUGCUUAUGUGACUACAUGUCUUAUAAAUCAGUUUAUCAAAUGCUACAUGUCUUCACAACUCACUUAUUCACGCGUCACAUGUUCCCAUAACUUACUUGUCCUUAUGUUAAAUCCCAUUUUGUUCUCCUCCACUUGUAGGUUAUAAACUCCAUGUGGCUUAUCAGUUCUUCUGCUAUUAUCCCCUCAUUGCUUACUUGCUUAAGUGAUACAUAUGUUAUAAUAAAGUAUCAUGAUGAAAUAGAGAAAAAAAAGGGAAUUUAAUUAUGUCUCAUUUUAUACCGAUUCAUACUGCUUUGAUAUAUGUAUAUGUGUCAUCCACUUGGGCAAGAAGAGGUACGUCAACUUAAAUGAUCAUAAGUUUUUGCAAUAAGAUCUAUUGAAUGUUUGCAGUUUCCAACUGUUGCUACUCUAAUAUGUCGUGUUCUCUUAUAUGAUUUUCAGUAACUAUAGUGUUUUCAAUU
RNAcentral lists this long non-coding RNA (3172 nucleotides) under Solanum tuberosum (potato). RNAcentral describes it as "long non-coding RNA (STUB_LNC000111)". The record is from RNAcentral. Lineage: Eukaryota; Viridiplantae; Streptophyta; Magnoliopsida; Solanales; Solanaceae.